UUAAAUUGAAGAGUUUGAUCAUGGCUCAGAUUGAACGCUGGCGGCAGGCCUAACACAUGCAAGUCGAGCGGUAACAGGAAAGCGCUUGCGCUUUUGCUGACGAGCGGCGGACGGGUGAGUAAUGUCUGGGGAUCUGCCCGAGGGCGGGGGAUAACCACUGGAAACGGUGGCUAAUACCGCAUAAUGUCGCGAGACCAAAGUGGGGGACCUGAAAGGG
RNAcentral lists this ribosomal RNA (217 nucleotides) under Photorhabdus sp. S12-55. RNAcentral describes it as "partial 16S ribosomal RNA". It matches the Rfam family "Bacterial small subunit ribosomal RNA", at positions 1 to 213 of the family's 1533-position model. Lineage: Bacteria; Pseudomonadati; Pseudomonadota; Gammaproteobacteria; Enterobacterales; Morganellaceae. RNAcentral also lists the same sequence under 4 other names. The record is from RNAcentral.